AAUAAGCCUGCAAAUCACUAUUAUAUACCUUAAAUUGUCUUUAAUUAAAACUCUCCACUGUUUUCCAGAAAUAACUGUUUUCCAGUUCAGGAAAGCUAUAAUGAUAUUUCUAUUAAAAAACAAAACAAAACAACUAACGAUUACAUCAAAAUUUUUAGGUAGGGCAGAAGGGAGAAAUUCCCUACCUUCUCACCAGCAUCUACAACACUAGCUGUGGAUGCCAAAUAUCAAGAAGAAAACAUGAGAAAAAAAAAAAAAUCAAAGAUUAGUUUUACCUUGAAUGGGAUGAUCCAGAAGGUGACCUGUGGUGCCUGUAAGACAUAAUGGAGAAAGCAGGUAAUCUGAGAGAUGCUACCUCAUUCACCUUGAUUUCGACCCACGAGAUCUCGAACGUUCUCUGGAACUGGAACGAGAUCUUGACUGCGAACUGGAAGAACUUCUUGAACGGGACCUGGAACAACAUGGAAGGAUUUUUUUUUUCCAGGACCAUUUAAUUAAGCUUUGUGAUACGAACACUGAAAGAAAAAUAUGUAUUAGAAUUCAUUUUCAUAUAGUAAGAAUACUAUUUGGGACAUAUAUUUUCAAAAUACAGUAUUUUAAGGUUUAUUUUAAACUUUUAUUCUGUAUUAACACUUAUGCCAAAACUUAAGGUAAUAGAUUAAUUUUUGAAAAUAAUCAACUAUUACUUUCCA
Balaenoptera ricei (Rice's whale) is the source of this 692-nucleotide long non-coding RNA. RefSeq lists it as uncharacterized. The record is from RefSeq and is a predicted model, not a curated record. NCBI's taxonomy places the organism in Eukaryota, Metazoa, Chordata, Mammalia, Artiodactyla, Balaenopteridae. The transcript has 3 exons.